UACGUAGGGCGCAAGCGUUAUCCGGAAUUAUUGGGCGUAAAGAGCUCGUAGGCGGCUUGUCACGUCGGUUGUGAAAGCCCGGGGCUUAACCCCGGGUCUGCAGUCGAUACGGGCAGGCUAGAGUGUGGUAGGGGAGAUCGGAAUUCCUGGUGUAGCGGUGAAAUGCGCAGAUAUCAGGAGGAACACCGGUGGCGAAGGCGGAUCUCUGGGCCAUUACUGACGCUGAGGAGCGAAAGCGUGGGGAGCAAACGGG
RNAcentral lists this ribosomal RNA (253 nucleotides) under uncultured bacterium. Its description in RNAcentral is "partial 16S ribosomal RNA". It matches the Rfam family "Bacterial small subunit ribosomal RNA", at positions 524 to 776 of the family's 1533-position model. The record is from RNAcentral.